This 417-nucleotide ribosomal RNA is filed under the name Entamoeba histolytica. Its description in RNAcentral is "bacterial SSU rRNA". It matches the Rfam family "Eukaryotic small subunit ribosomal RNA", at positions 1047 to 1450 of the family's 1831-position model. The record is from RNAcentral. Lineage: Eukaryota; Evosea; Mastigamoebida; Endamoebidae.
CUAGAUCUGAGUAUAUCAAUAUUACCUUGUUCAGAACUUAAAGAGAAAUCUUGAGUUUAUGGACUUCAGGGGGAGUAUGGUCACAAGGCUGAAACUUAAAGGAAUUGACGGAAGGGCACACCAGGAGUGGAGCCUGCGGCUUAAUUUGACUCAACACGGGAAAACUUACCAAGACCGAACAGUAGAAGGAAUGACAGAUUAAGAGUUCUUUCAUGAUUUAUUGGGUAGUGGUGCAUGGCCGUUCUUAGUUGGUGGAGUGAUUUGUCAGGUUAAUUCCGGUAACGAACGAGACUGAAACCUAUUAAUUAGUUUUCUGCCUAUAAGACAGAAAUGUUCGCAAGAACAGGUGCGUAAGUACCACUUCUUAAAGGGACACAUUUCAAUUGUCCUAUUUUAAUUGUAGUUAUCUAAUUUCGG